GAUGAACGCUGGCGGCGUGCCUAAUACAUGCAAGUCGAGCGAACAGACGAGGAGCUUGCUCCUCUGACGUUAGCGGCGGACGGGUGAGUAACACGUGGAUAACCUACCUAUAAGACUGGGAUCACUUCGGGAAACCGGAGCUAAUACCGGAUAAUAUAUUGAACCGCAUGGUUCAAUAGUGAAAGACGGUUUUGCUGUCACUUAUAGAUGGAUCCGCGCCGCAUUAGCUAGUUGGUAAGGUAACGGCUUACCAAGGCAACGAUGCGUAGCCGACCUGAGAGGGUGAUCGGCCACACGGGAACUGAGACACGGUCCAGACUCCUACGGGAGGCAGCAGUAGGGAAUCUUCCGCAAUGGGCGAAAGCCUGACGGAGCAACGCCGCGUGAGUGAUGAAGGUCUUCGGAUCGUAAAACUCUGUUAUUAGGGAAGAACAAAUGUGUAAGUAACUAUGCACGUCUUAACGGUACCUAAUCAGAAAGCCACGGCUAACUACGUG
Molecule: ribosomal RNA, 497 nt
Filed under: uncultured bacterium
Lineage: Bacteria
Description: partial 16S ribosomal RNA
Rfam family: Bacterial small subunit ribosomal RNA
Source: RNAcentral